AAAGCAUCAAACGGAGACAGCAUAUGCCUUAUCCCAUACAACACUGGGGUAAUCUCAAACAACAAGGUUGUGUUGAAUGUGGAUAUUGUGUCAUGCGGUACAUGAAGGAGAUUGUUGAAUGUGAGGAUCUACAGUUGGAGAGGAAGUUUGCAGGUUGUGUGAAGAACCAGUACUAUACGCAGACACAAUAUGAUGAAGUGAGAAUUGAAUGGAGUGAAUUUGUGUACUCGUAUUUGAAG
Molecule: long non-coding RNA, 239 nt
Organism: Zingiber officinale
Lineage: Eukaryota; Viridiplantae; Streptophyta; Magnoliopsida; Zingiberales; Zingiberaceae
Exons: 3
Source: RefSeq, a predicted model, not a curated record